CCUACGGGUGGCAGCAGUGAGGAAUAUUGGUCAAUGGACGCAAGUCUGAACCCGCCAUGCCGCGUGCAGGAAGACGGCUCUCUGAGUUGUAAACUGCUUUUGUACGAGGGUAAAUUCCGGUACGCGUACCGGGCUGAAAGUAUCUUACGAAUAAGGAUCGGCUAACUCCGUGCCAGCAGCCGCGGUAAUACGGAGGAUUCAAGCGUUAUCCGGAUUUAUUGGGUUUAAAGGGUGCGUAGGCGGUUCGGUAAGUUAGAGGUGAAAUCCCGGGGCUGAACUCCGGCACUGCCUCUGAUACUGGCGAGCUAGAGUUGAGUAGCGGUAGGCGGAAUGUAUGGUGUAGCGGUGAAAUGCAUAGAGAUCAUACAGAACACCGAGUGCGAAGGCAGCUUACCGGACUACGACUGACGUUGAGGCACGAAAGCGUGGGGAGCAAACAGGAUUAGAUACCCCUGUAGUC
Molecule: ribosomal RNA, 460 nt
Filed under: uncultured bacterium
Lineage: Bacteria
Description: partial 16S ribosomal RNA
Rfam family: Bacterial small subunit ribosomal RNA
Source: RNAcentral